UCAGUGUAAUAUGUAUGCCUCACACACA
RNAcentral lists this non-coding RNA (28 nucleotides) under Mus musculus (house mouse). Lineage: Eukaryota; Metazoa; Chordata; Mammalia; Rodentia; Muridae. The record is from RNAcentral.